GCUCAGGAUGAACGCUAGCUACAGGCUUAACACAUGCAAGUCGAGGGGCAUCAGGAAGAAAGCUUGCUUUCUUUGCUGGCGACCGGCGCACGGGUGAGUAACACGUAUCCAACCUGCCCUUUACUCGGGGAUAGCCUUUCGAAAGAAAGAUUAAUACCCGAUAGUAUAAUGAUUCCGCAUGGUUUCAUUAUUAAAGGAUUCCGGUAAAGGAUGGGGAUGCGUUCCAUUAGGUUGUUGGUGAGGUAACGGCCCACCAAGCCUUCGAUGGAUAGGGGUUCUGAGAGGAAGGUCCCCCACAUUGGAACUGAGACACGGUCCAAACUCCUACGGGAGGCAGCAGUGAGGAAUAUUGGUCAAUGGGCGCUAGCCUGAACCAGCCAAGUAGCGUGAAGGAUGAAGGCUCUAUGGGUCGUAAACUUCUUUUAUAUAAGAAUAAAGUGCAGUAUGUAUACUGUUUUGUAUGUAUUAUAUGAAUAAGGAUCGGCUAACUCCGUGCCAGCAGCCGCGGUAAUACGGAGGAUCCGAGCGUUAUCCGGAUUUAUUGGGUUUAAAGGGAGCGUAGGUGGACUGGUAAGUCAGUUGUGAAAGUUUGCGGCUCAACCGUAAAAUUGCAGUUGAUACUGUCAGUCUUGAGUACAGUAGAGGUGGGCGGAAUUCGUGGUGUAGCGGUGAAAUGCUUAGAUAUCACGAAGAACUCCGAUUGCGAAGGCAGCUCACUGGACUGCAACUGACACUGAUGCUCGAAAGUGUGGGUAUCAAACAGGAUUAGAUACCCUAGUAGUCCACACAGUAAACGAUGAAUACUCGCUGUUUGCGAUAUACAGUAAGCGGCCAAGCGAAAGCAUUAAGUAUUCCACCUGGGGAGUACGCCGGCAACGGUGAAACUCAAAGGAAUUGACGGGGGCCCGCACAAGCGGAGGAACAUGUGGUUUAAUUCGAUGAUACGCGAGGAACCUUACCCGGGCUUAAAUUGCAGUGGAAUGAUGUGGAAACAUGUCAGUGAGCAAUCACCGCUGUGAAGGUGCUGCAUGGUUGUCGUCAGCUCGUGCCGUGAGGUGUCGGCUUAAGUGCCAUAACGAGCGCAACCCUUAUCUUUAGUUACUAACAGGUUAUGCUGAGGACUCUAGAGAGACUGCCGUCGUAAGAUGUGAGGAAGGUGGGGAUGACGUCAAAUCAGCACGGCCCUUACGUCCGGGGCUACACACGUGUUACAAUGGGGGGUACAGAAGGCAGCUAGCGGGUGACCGUAUGCUAAUCCCAAAAGCCUCUCUCAGUUCGGAUCGAAGUCUGCAACCCGACUUCGUGAAGCUGGAUUCGCUAGUAAUCGCGCAUCAGCCACGGCGCGGUGAAUACGUUCCCGGGCCUUGUACACACCGCCCGUCAAGCCAUGGGAGCCGGGGGUACCUGAAGUACGUAACCGCAAGGAUCGUCCUAGGGUAAAACU
Molecule: ribosomal RNA, 1444 nt
Filed under: uncultured organism
Description: SSU rRNA
Rfam family: Bacterial small subunit ribosomal RNA
Source: RNAcentral